Molecule: long non-coding RNA, 6548 nt
Filed under: Sus scrofa (pig)
Lineage: Eukaryota; Metazoa; Chordata; Mammalia; Artiodactyla; Suidae
Description: lncRNA (ENSSSCG00030064249.1)
Source: RNAcentral
CUUUUUGACCGCUGUAUCUUUAAAGGCUAGAAUAGUUCCUGGCACGGAAAGGGACUUAGCAAAUGUUUUUGACCAUCUGAGUGUUUACUGGGCACUGACCUGUGAGUGGUGGUUCAUGGGCAAAUGAGUGGAAACGUUAUUAUCCCUUGUCCAGAGGAAACUGGGCAGUACCAGAAGCACCACCUGUGGCACCCGGAGCUGCUCAGAGGAAGGUCUGAAAAUCACAAACCUCAGACUAACCCCUUCAUUUGAGAAACUGGGGCCCAGAGGGCUGAAGUGACUUUUGCAGUGUCAUGAAAUUGUCAACCAAAGGACUGAAUCCCAGCGCACUGUGCUUUCAGCUGUUUUAUCCUAUAUUCCUGAAGGAUAAGUUCUAUAGAAUAGAUUAGCUCCUAUCAGUGGGUAGCCCUCUAGGGAGAGAACUGUCAGAGGGUUUUGUUCACACCUUGUUUCAAAUGCUGCUGCUCCUUCAGGACUGUGGACACGGAGACCUGCUUCCUAAGACUUCCCUCCCCACUUGGCAAUCAUCUUGAAUUUGUAUUAGAAGUAAGGAAAUGGGACUGCUUUCUCCAAAUAUUUAUAAUGACUUUAUUGCUCUGAAUUGCCACACAUCAGAGAGAACUUUUAACCAUUAGGGGUCUUGACUUCCUAUUUGUGAAAAGUGGAGUGACUCUGAUCAAGAAGGCUCAACUCCUUUUGGUUGGAGAUCACAGGAAUGGCAUCAUGUCAUGAUGGCCAUAGGGGAGCCACACCAGCUGUACUGUCCCCAGUGGAAAGAGCCAGGACCCAGGACCCAGGGCAGGCAGUGACAGUUUCCCAGAGAGCCGACUCCCCUUCUCUGGGCUGGAUGAGCAGGAGAGACAGAGACACCUGGCCCUCCCGGAACAGAGUGAAGCUGACAAGCACUAGAGAGUGAUCAUGAGCAGACAGACCCUGGAGGAGGGUUGAAACUUGGAAGAAGGGACAACGCUGGGCUUGUAUUUAUGAAAAAUGCCACCUGAAGUGCUUCAAGCUGAAGUGAAAUUACACCAAAAAGAAACAGAGAUCUUUAGGAAGAAACAAAAAGCAACCAGAAAUGAAGUUCCUGGGCCAGGAAUCAAACCCAUACCAACUCAGCAACCCAAGCUACUAUAAUGACAACACUGGAUCCUUAAAUUGCUGAGUCACAGGAGAACUCCCCAUAAGUUUAUUUUCUAAGUGUGUGAAUCUGUUUCUGUCUUGUAACUAGUUUCAUUUGUAUCAUUUUUAAAGAGUUCACAUAUAAGUGAUAUCAUGUGGUAUCUGUCUUCCUCUGACUUACUUCACUUAGUGUGAUAAUCUCUAGGUGGGACUUGUAUUGUUGAACAGAUAGGAAUGUGCCAGAAAGAGCAGGUGCCCAAGACCGAUGUACCCGUGCUCACAGGAAGCAGUAGCCCAUCACACUGUGGAUCCCUCCACAGUUUCAUUUGUGCUCUCCCACACAGGAAGUUAAACAUUUAAACAUCUCCAUCAAUCCUUCCAGUCGUAUGUAUAAGCGCGAAUCAAGAAUGUUUAAGAUCUGUUUCACAAGGUCUUUAGGAUCCUGAUAAUCCUCCCAACAUCCUCGAUCAUGCUCUAAUCAGCCUUAACAAUACUUCUUUAUGUUUUUAUAUCAUGACUAUUGGAAAAGCUCUUUUAAUUUUGUGUGACUGGGUCCAGUUUGCUCACUUCUUCCCUAGGGAGCCUCUAAUAGGGGAUAUAUUACAGUAGGUCUGAUUUGUCUUUUCCCUAGGAGACUGGUGUCCACAAUCUCCCAAAUUCACAGCCUACUCUGAGACACACAGAUUUCUAGAUUUUAAUUUGCUUGAGUCAUAUCGAUAUUGAUAUUUAAUGUUAACCUGAGGUAAGCAUGAUAGAUAUGCUUGACUUAAAGAGCUGGGAGCACAGAAGAGAGUUUAAAUGAUUUGUCCAGGUCAUCUAGUGAACCCUCAAACUUAGAGCUAAGGCCAGGAUUCCUGUCGCUUUGACCUCUGAUUCAGAGUACUUUCUACCACUCAUUGUGACUCCAGCCCAUAUGGUCGAACCAAGUUCGGGUAGAUCCUGUGGUUCAUAUGUUUAUUGUUCAUUAUACUUAAAAGAAAAGGCCCUUUUUUUUUUUUUUUAAAUCAUGGUUUCCUCCUCAUCUUUGAGUAGUUUCCUUUCCCCUACAUUUAUGGGUCUAAAUGAGGGAUCUGAACAUGAGCUCAGUCAGAGGUAGAAACACAGAGCUGUGAGUUCACACAAUAGAAUAUAACCCAGGAGGUCAUCAGUUCCUUAGGGGUGUGAGCAGAGUAGGAGUGGGCUUCGCUUGGCCAGUGUCCAAAGGGGUCCCAGGAAAAUGGGCAGAUAGUAUCAGUAAAGCAGAGAGCAGAUGACAUGCCAUGGGGACUGAGCCACAAGUUAGGGAAUAGCUGCCAAUGCCUCAGGAACCAAACAAGAUGUACUCCAUUGCCAAGGAGGCUGCACUUAGUGGUGGGAAGUCUCAUGUCCAUGGAACCUGAGCACAAUGAGAGGGUCCUUGUGUUUGGAAGGAUGAGAUUAGAUGCAAAAGCAAGAAAGACUCAAGCUCCAGUGGGGAGAAUUUGGGAUAGGACUCUAUGUCGCUAAGUAACAAUUGAAGGGUGUGGCUCAGCUGUGUUGACAGAGGGACAAGGCCAAUACUGAUGCAGGCGUGUAGGUAGAUAACUCACCAUGGCCGCAGAUUUACUAGUAAAAGAGGGUCAUGGCUCCGUGCCAUUUUCAAGUAUACUGUCAAAAAGUGUAUGAAGUUCAGAGUGACUGCCAUACCCAUAGCCCUCUUUGAAAAAGGUGACGCUCUGACUUCAGACUAUACCACAAAGCUACAGUCAUCAAAACAGUAUGACAACUGGGACAAAAACAGAAAUGCAGAUCAAGUUGUAUAGAGAACCCAAAAAUAAACCCACACACUUAUGGCCAAUUAAUCUACAACAAAGAAAGCAAGAAUAUACAAUGGAGAAAAGACAGUCUCUGCAAUAAGUGGGGCUGGGCAAACUGUACAGCUACAUGUAGAAGAAUAAAAUUAGAACAAUCUCUAACAACAUAUACAAAAAUAAACUCAAAAUGGAUUAAAGACCUAAAUGUAAGACUGGAUACUAUAUAACUCUCAGAGGAAAAAUAGGCAGAACACCCUUUGACAUAAAUUGAAACAAUUAUUUUUUUGGAUUCCUCUCCUAAAGGAAAUAAAAGCAAAAAUAAACAAAUGGGACCUAGUUAAUCUUAAAACCUUUUGUAUAGCAAAGGAAACCACUGACAAAAUGAAGACAACUCAUCAAAUGGGAGAAAAUAUUUGUAAGUUAUAAGAUCAAUAAGGGAUUAAUAUCCAACAUAUUUAAGCAGAUCAUAUGACUCAAUAUCAAAAAAACAAAACAACCUCAUUAAAAAUGGGCAGAGAAACCAAAUACACAUUUUUCCAGAAAGGAAAUGCAGGUGGCUAACUGGCACAUGAAAAGAUGCUCAAGAUUGCUAGUCAUCAGGGAAAUGCAAAUCAAAACUGCAAUGCGGUAUCACUUCACACCUAUCAGAAUGGAAAUGAGUCAUUCAGAGAAAGACAAAUAUUGUGUGAUAUCCCUUAUAUGUGAAAUCUAAAAAACACAGCAAAGGAGUGAAUACAACAUAAAAAAAGCAGACUCAGAUAUAGAGAACAAACUAGUGGUUAUCAGUGGGGAGGAGAGGAAAGUGCAUCAUAGGGGUGGGGGAGUGGGAGGCACAAGCUAUUGGGUAUAAGGUAGGUUCAACACAAGGAAUAUGGCCAAUAUUUUGUAAUAACUGUUAAUGGAAAGUAACUUUUAAAAACUGUAUAAAAAUAAUUUUUUAAAAGUAAUGAAACAAUGGUAUAAAGCUGCUUUAUUAUGCUAAAUCAUUGUUAUCUGGCCACCUGUAACAGGUGAGCACCUGUUUCAAAAGCCACAGAUUGGGAACCAGGCAUAAUAACACUGCCAGGUACGAGUGCUCACAUUCAAUGGUGACUACUACAUUCAGAUCUCCUAUUUCCUGGAGUUUGAGAGAACUGUAUACAUGUGGAGAAGGAAGCAGUUGAUGGGGAUUGAUGUGCAAGAUCUAGGGAUCAAACAACAACGGCUGACAUUUAUUUGAAGAUUUGUUACCUGCCUGGUGCUGUUAGUGCUUCUAAUGGACUAACCCACUGUAACCCUCAGAACUCCACAAUAAUGAGAUUGUCCCCAUUUUCAGAGGUGGACAAGAGGCACCAGGUGUUUAAAAAUUAUCGAAGGACACAAAAUCAGUACAUGGAAGAGGCAGGCCAUGAAGCCAGAUCUCCAGUGCUGCAUUUUUUUUGUUUUAGCUGCCCCCUUGGCAUACAGAGUUCCCUGGCCAGGUAUCAGAUCCAAGCCACAGUUGUGACCUUGGUAAUGCCAGAUCCUUAACCCACUGUGCCAGGCCAGGGAUAGAACCUGGGUCCAGGUGCUCCAGAGAUGCUACCAACCCCAUUGUGCCACAGCUGGACUCCCAGUGCUGCAUUUUUAUCCACUCCAAGGUACUGCUAACUGGCAUGAGAUAGAAGCAAGGAGGCAGGAGAAACCACAAAACAGAGAGACAGAGUAGAGAUUAGUUUGAUGUUAACAGCAGAGGUAGGAGAAGCAGAGGCAGGAAGUCACUACCUGGUGGGGGCACGAUGAAAACCUACAACUGCACCUGAACCCACUGCGAGGAUGGCAUCAUGUCCUAAAGGCCCUUCCAGUUAGAUCCUUGGCCAUGCUUUCCAUCCCUUCAGGCACUGGAGUGUGUCGGGGGUCUGGGAGGAAGACUUUGAUCUCGCUCUCUAAAUGCUCAGGAUUCAAUUCUAAAAUGUGACCAACUGUCCAAAUUACAUGAAACCAGCUACACAUACAGCAGACACACGUCAUUUGGUUUUUCCUCACUGGCAGCAGGAAACGAUGUGUUUUCCAUGAAGAUGAAAAAUAAAACACAGGAAAGUCAGGAGCAUCUUUUUCAAAUGCCCUUGACUUUGAUACCUUCAGAUAGUGAUGUGUUUAGUUUCCUGAACAAUUUGGGUGGAUCUGCACAGCCUGAGCUGGAGAGUAUGGGCAUCUGGCCAUCAAUCCAAACAUUGAGCAACGGGUUUGCCUGGCUGAGACUUUAUCUCUAGAAUAGAAGGAGGAGGAACUUAUUUAAAGAAUCUCUAUGCAGUCUUGCCCUGCAGGGUUAACUGGAACUCCUUCACUACCCAAGACCCUUUUAGUUAUAUAAGUUUACACCCAUCUUUUUUCCUUAUGAGAAACAUGAAUGAAGUGGAGCAACUUGAAUACAGAUAUUUCAGAAAGAAAAGAAUCUCACUUCUUAAUAUGAAUAGGCCCAUUGUCACAGCACAUCUUUUCUCCGCAUUAGAACACAGCAGUUGGAGUUCCCGUCGUGGCGCAGUGGUUAACAAAUCCGACUAGGAACCAUGAGGUUGCGGGUUCGGUCCCUGCCCUUGCUCAGUGGGUUAAGGAUCCGGCGUUGCCGUGAGCUGUGGUAUAGGUUGCAGAUGCGGCUUGGAUCCUGCGUUGCUGUGGCUCUGGCGUAGGCCGGUGGCUACAGCUCCGAUUCGACCCCUAGCCUGGGAACCUCUAUAUGCCACGGGAGCGGCCCAAGAAAUGGCAAAAAAGACCAAAAAAAAAAAAAAAAGAACACUGCAGUAAUCAUUGCAAGAGUCAAGUUUUGCUGAUGAAUCCUAAAAUCACUGGGUGAAAGUUUGAGGAGAAACAAGAAUAUCUUUCCACCAAUGCAUUUAUUAAUUUCAAAGUGAAAAAUGAAUUUAUGGAGAAAAUCAGACAUCAGCUUACUCAAGUGGCCAAGGUUAAUAGCAGAAGUAAUAAGAUACUAGUUCUUUUCAUGAUGUCGUACCGAAAAGUGCACACUUCCAUCCCUAUUCCUGACAAAAACACAUGACCUCAAUCUAAUUAUGAGAAAAUAUUGGGUAGGACACAAUUGAGGGGCAUUCAACAAAAUAAUACUCUUCAAAAGUGCCAUGAUCAUGAAAAAUAAUGAAAAAUUAAGCAGCUUUCAGAGAUUUGACAAGACUAAGGAGACAUGAUGACUAAGGCUAUGUGGUAUCCUUAGAUUGGGUUCUUGAACAGAAAAAGGAUAUUCAUAAAAACACAGGUGAAAGUCAAAUAAACUCUGUGGGUUAGUUAAUAGCCCCUAAUGUCCAGUGUUAAUUUCUUGACUUGGAACAUUGUACAAUAGUUACACCAAAUGUUAUCAUUGAGUGAAGCUGGCUGAAGGGUGUAUGAGAACUCUGUACUGUUUACGAAACUUCUCUAUAAUUAUGAAAUUAUUUCAAAAUAAAAAGUUUAGCAGCUUUCUCAAGUGGAGAAAAUAAUAUAUUUCUCUAUGAAAUGGUUCAUUCCCAUCAUCUGCUAAAUAGUUUAUAAUGAUUUAAUUAUGUCACAUUGCUAUCUCUACAUGGUAUAUUUCUGGGUCCUUCAUUCUGUUUGGCCUACUUUUCAUCUGUAAAGUCUGCUUUUCAUCUAUAAAUGUCAUAAUUUGGAGGAAAUUAUUUUACCUUUUUAAAAAAAUAAACACAGCUUUGC